This 253-nucleotide ribosomal RNA is filed under the name uncultured bacterium. RNAcentral's name for it is "partial 16S ribosomal RNA". It matches the Rfam family "Bacterial small subunit ribosomal RNA", at positions 524 to 776 of the family's 1533-position model. The record is from RNAcentral.
UACAGAGGUCUCAAGCGUUGUUCGGAUUCAUUGGGCGUAAAGGGUGCGUAGGUGGCGAGGUUAGUCAGGUGUGAAAUCUCGGGGCUCAACCCCGAAACUGCACUUGAUACUGCCUUGCUAGAGUACUGGAGAGGAGAUUGGAAUUUACGGUGUAGCAGUGAAAUGCGUAGAUAUCGUAAGGAAGACCAGUGGCGAAGGCGAAUCUCUGGACAGUUACUGACGCUGAGGCGCGAAAGCGUGGGGAGCGAACAGG